RNAcentral lists this ribosomal RNA (466 nucleotides) under uncultured bacterium. RNAcentral describes it as "partial 16S ribosomal RNA". It matches the Rfam family "Bacterial small subunit ribosomal RNA", at positions 29 to 507 of the family's 1533-position model. The record is from RNAcentral.
AAUGAACGUUGGCGGCGUGGAUUAGGCAUGCAAGUCGAGCGGAAAGGCCCGCAAGGGCACUCGAGCGGCGUAAGGGACAGUAAUGUGUAGGUACGUACCCCUGGGUCUAGGAUAGCUGCGGGAAACUGCAAUUAAUACUAGAUGAUGUCUUCGGACCAAAGGUGUGAUUCCACCCAGGGAGCGGCCUACAUCCUAUUAGCUAGUUGGUGAGGUGACGGCUCACCAAGGCGAAGAUGGGUAGCAGGUGUGAGAGCACGACCUGCGUCACUGGGACUGAGACACUGCCCAGACACCUACGGGUGGCUGCAGUCGAGAAUCUUCGGCAAUGGGCGAAAGCCUGACCGAGCGACGCCGCGGGCGGGAUGAAGGCCUUCGGGUUGUAAACCGCUGUCGGAGGGGAUGAAAUGCCGAUGGGUACUCCCAACGGCUUGACUGAUCCUCGGAGGAAGGGUGGGCUAAGUUCGUG